CGUGCGAUAGGUAAAUCCGUCGUACAUGUGGCUGAGACCUGAUGCCGAGCCGAUUGUGGUGAAGUGGAUGAUCCUAUGCUGUCGAGAAAAGCCUCUAGCGAGUUUCAUGGCGGCCCGUACCCUAAACCGACUCAGGUGGUCAGGUAGAGAAUACCGAGGCGUUCGGGUGAACUAUGGUUAAGGAACUCGGCAAAAUGCCCCCGUAACUUCGGGAGAAGGGGGGCCAUGUCUGGUGAUGAGUCUUGCACUCUGAGCUGGGUGUGGCCGCAGAGACCAGCGAGAAGCGACUGUUUACUAAAAACACAGGUCCGUGCGAAGCCGUAAGGCGAUGUAUACGGACUGACGCCUGCCCGGUGCUGGAACGUUAAGGGGACCGGUUAGUCACAUUUCGGUGUGGCGAAGCUGAGAACUUAAGCGCCAGUAAACGGCGGUGGUAACUAUAACCAUCCUAAGGUAGCGAAAUUCCUUGUCGGGUAAGUUCCGACCUGCACGAAUGGCGUAACGACUUCUCGACUGUCUCAACCAUAGGCCCGGUGAAAUUGCAUUACGAGUAAAGAUGCUCGUUUCGCGCAGCAGGACGGAAAGACCCCGGGACCUUUACUACAGUUUGAUAUUGGUGUUCGGUUCGGCUUGUGUAGGAUAGGUGGGAGACUGUGAAGCAUGCACGCCAGUGUGUGUGGAGUCGUCGUUGAAAUACCACUCUGGUCGUGCUGGAUGUCUAACCUGGGUCCGUGAUCCGGAUCAGGGACAGUGUCUGAUGGGUAGUUUAACUGGGGCGGUUGCCUCCUAAAGAGUAACGGAGGCGCCCAAAGGUUCCCUCAGCCUGGUUGGUAAUCAGGUGUUGAGUGUAAGUGCACAAGGGAGCUUGACUGUGAGACCGACGGGUCGAGCAGGGACGAAAGUCGGGACUAGUGAUCCGGCGGUGGCUUGUGGAAGCGCCGUCGCUCAACGGAUAAAAGGUACCCCGGGGAUAACAGGCUGAUCUUCCCCAAGAGUCCAUAUCGACGGGAUGGUUUGGCACCUCGAUGUCGGCUCGUCGCAUCCUGGGGCUGGAGUCGGUCCCAAGGGUUGGGCUGUUCGCCCAUUAAAGCGGUACGCGAGCUGGGUUUAGAACGUCGUGAGACAGUUCGGUCCCUAUCCGCUGUGCGCGUAGGAAUAUUGAGAAGGGCUGUCCCUAGUACGAGAGGACCGGGACGGACGAACCUCUGGUGUGCCAGUUGUUCUGCCAAGGGCAUGGCUGGUUGGCUACGUUCGGGAGGGAUAACCGCUGAAAGCAUCUAAGCGGGAAGCCUGCUUCGAGAUGAGUAUUCCCACCUCCUUGAGAGGGUAAGGCUCCCAGUAGACGACUGGGUUGAUAGGCCGGAUAUGGAAGCCCUGUAAGGGGUGGAGUUGACCGGUACUAAUAGGCCGAGGGCUUGUCCUC
This 1423-nucleotide ribosomal RNA is filed under the name Streptomyces sp. IgraMP-1. RNAcentral describes it as "bacterial LSU rRNA". It matches the Rfam family "Bacterial large subunit ribosomal RNA", at positions 1526 to 2925 of the family's 2925-position model. The record is from RNAcentral. Lineage: Bacteria; Bacillati; Actinomycetota; Actinomycetes; Kitasatosporales; Streptomycetaceae.